Molecule: long non-coding RNA, 3593 nt
Organism: Lemur catta (Ring-tailed lemur)
Lineage: Eukaryota; Metazoa; Chordata; Mammalia; Primates; Lemuridae
Exons: 3
Source: RefSeq, a predicted model, not a curated record
AGCUGCCUCUCCUGGCCUCAGCAGUACCUGACAGAGGACAGGGACCCCCUGGGUCCUGUGCAGAGGAUGCAGGCAUCCCCAGAGCCUCACAUCUUUCUCUUCACUCCCAGGAUCCGGUUCGACUGCACCAGUGAGAUCAGGAACUGAAUGAGCUGUGGGUAGAGAGGAUAUAGUCAUCCAGGCCCAUGGGGGGUCCCUGUUGGCCUGCCGGCCCUGCCUCUACCUUGUUGACGACUUUCUGCUGUUGGGCGUGCUUCUGCCGCAGGCUGGCCACCUCCCGCCACAGGGCCUCGUUCUCGCUGAAACAGACCAGGAUGGGUCAAUGGGGCUGCAACCAGGAGCACUGGGCAGGGCUGGCCUGGCCCUCCCCGGGAUGAGGACUGCCAUGUGAAGGGGCUGGGGAGGCCAAGGCUUGCUGGCACCACUGCCCUUCCUAGUGUGGCUGUACUCCAGAGUCACACAAAGGAUGCUCGGGACCUCCACCAGGCUCAGAUGUGGCUCACAGGUGGCCCCGUGGAGUAGGGAAGAGUGGCCCCAGCACCGUCUCCCCGACCGGGAGCUGCUCCUGGCCACGCAGGAAACAAGGGUGCUGGAACUCAGUGUCGUCCCUCUCAGGCUUGACCAGGCCGCCCUGCUCAAUGUGGACCACUUUCCGGAAGCCAUCUGUACAUAACGGAUGGAUGCAGCUCUGCCUAAGACCUAGGGACCAGACCCCCCUGCGACAGCCUGGCCACUAACCCCAUGGCAAGCAACGAGCAGUUCCUGAAGGGCUACACUGGCGUGGCCCUGGUUAGACCCCAUGCUGCCCACUCAGAGCUUGUGCCUGGGUGGUCUUAGUCUCAGGGAGACCCCAUGUCCCCACGUCUCCCUUCCUCAAUGCAUGUGGGAGUGUGGCUAGGGCUUCACAGCUCUUCCCUGGGGACCUUAGGCUCACACCCACAAAAACCUUUCCCUCAAGGACGAAGUGCCCGCCCCAGGCCCCCAGCUUUGAGGGCUCCACGCCAUGCCCUUGGCCACUGCAGAGGGUUCUGUCCUUCACCCUCAGGGUAGGUCAGCUUCCCCACACACCCCAGGCUGGCUGCCCAGUCCCUCUGAGCAGGGGACCCUCAUCCCCCACAAGCCCAGGGCGGGGCAGGCACACUCACACAUGUUGAGCUGCCGCACGAAGCUGGCCAUGUUGUUGUGCUUGAAGUACUUGGGUAGCACCUCCUUGGCGAACUGGCCCUGGUCGAACACGUGAAAGCUGUUCCCGCUCUGCCAGGAGACACAUGGAUGCGUCAUGUGUGGUGGCAAGGCACAGAGGUAUCUGUGGCCUGAGGGGACCCCUCCCCAUGAGUUGGGUAGGGCACAUUCCUAACCCUACGGGGCUGGUUGGGGGGUCCCUCGGCCUGUAUCUGCAUUCAGGUGCAGGACUGGGUGGUGGCCAGAUGCUCAGUUUACAUUCAUGAGACACUCACAGCACUUGGAGCCCAUUCUCUAGGGGAUCAGUAUUUAGUUUUAAUCGGCAAGUUUUCCUUAAGAACAGCUAAGACCCCAAAUUGAGGCAGCCAAAGAAACGGGAAUCUAAUUUCUGUUACAUUAAAGGAAAACACAGUUAUGUUCAGAAAUGCAAACUUCAUUCCUCUUUUGGCAUGUGAGACAAGAAAUAGCGACUGUCAGAAAUUGCAUAUGCCGUCAGGAGGAGCUGACCAGGCAGGAGUCUUUGCUGGCCUCAGUCAUGGUGGCUCAGAGAAGGCGCCAAGAUGGAAAGAUGGAGAGGCCCAGAGCAGAGCCAGAGAAGAGCGUGCAGGGCAUCUGCACAGGAGUUGGGGCGACUGACCCAGUGAAUGAACCAGUUAAAGACAGAGCAGGCCCUGCUGGAGAAGGGAGUUACAGCUGCGGACAGGGGAAAGCCAAAAGGCCCCUUUGGUGUUGGACUGGAACUGGAAUACUGCUCUUCAAUAUAGAAAAACAGGAGAAUAAACAUGGGCACAAACAUGUGAGGCGAGUGGGAACAGCACAGGAAGGGGGUCCAAAGCAGCAAGAGGAAAGCUGGUAAAAAUGUUAGUCAACUUUUCCAGAAUGCUGAACAUUAAUGGGAGAAUUGCAGCAGUACAGGGAGUGUUUACUCAAGAAAAGCAGUUGGAUCUCAAUAAGAAAAGUGAGCACUGUGGCAUUUUACCCUGCCCUGUUCCUGCUCUAUCUCAGCUGCAAUCACUGUGGAACCAGUGACCUGGCAGCCCCUAGGGGAGGAGGGCCCGGAGCUCCUUCAGGCCCCUUGUGGCAGCUACCUGGGAGCUCCCACUUCUCAGGCUGUCUUGGAUUUGACUUGAAGUUCUUCCAAUGUAGAAAAGCUUUUUCCUAGGAGUCCUUGUUGAAACAGCUGGAGACAAUUUUUAAUUACUCUGGCUGCCUAAGGCAGUGCGUAACAGUUCGGGACAAGAGACUAAUUAGAACACUUAAAAGAAAAAGCUGGAGAAUGAAGUAUCACUAAAGGCUCUGAAAAAUCCUCAGGAACCCAGAAGCCAUGUGCAUGAGCAGAGCUGUGCCCUUGUUGAGGAAAGACCUGAGCUGUCCCCUCUGGCUGACCUUGAGGCUCUGCGUAAGCAUCAAGGGAAGGAUAAAAGGUCAACCAUCUGGCUGAGUACUGAAGGUGUGCCCCAACAUACAGAGUCCCCCAGCAAAGACUGGGAGACUCAUUGCCUCCAGGCUCUUAAGGAAAUUUCUGCCCCAUCACUACCUAACCAAACAAGAGACUGAAGUGGCCAUGAACAACAGAGAACACAGACUUUAUAGCACCAGUCCAGAAAAGCUACCAAAGUACAAUUGCAGCAAACUACAACAGCAAUGAAUCCUGGGAAAUGGGAGAAUCUGAGCUCCAUAGUUGCCACAUUAUAUUAAUUAGAAAUCUAGUUUUCAACAAAAAUUAUGAGAUCUGCAAAGAAAGAAGGUAUGGCCCAUACACAGGAAAAAAAAAAAGCAAUCAAGAGAAACUGUCCUGGAAGAAGCCCAGACUUACUAGACAAAGAUUUUUAGGUCAACUAUUUUAAAUAUGUUCAAAGAACUAAAGUAAACCACAUCUAAAGAACUGAAGUCUGAGAAUGAUACCUCACCAAAUAGAGAAUAUCAAUAAAGAGACAAAAAUUAUAAAAAAGCACUAAAUUGAAAUUCUGGAGUUGAAAAGUACAAUAACUCAGAUUAAAAAUUCUCCAGAGGGGCUCAAGUGCAGAUGUGAGCAGGGAGAAGAAGGAAUCAGCAAACAUGAAGAUAGGCCAAUCGAGAUCAUCCAGUCUGGGGAAAAGAAAAAAAAAAGAAUGAAUAAAAAUGAACAGAGCCUCAGAGACCUGCAAGACAUCAUCAAAUGUACAACAUAUACAUAAUGGGAGUCUCAGAAAAAUGAAAGGGACAUAAAAAUACAUGAAGAAAAAAUGCCCAAAAUCUCCACAAAUUUGAUGAAAAACAUCUAGGAAGCUAAACUCCAAGUAGGAUAAACUCAAAGAGAUUCCCACCUAGACACUUCAUAAUCAAACUGGCAAAAGCAAAAGGCAAAGGAAGACUCUUGGAAAGGCCGGGCACGGUGGCUCACGCCUGUAAUCCUAGCCCUCCAGGAGGCU